This 434-nucleotide ribosomal RNA is filed under the name uncultured Lachnospiraceae bacterium. RNAcentral's name for it is "partial 16S ribosomal RNA". It matches the Rfam family "Bacterial small subunit ribosomal RNA", at positions 341 to 792 of the family's 1533-position model. The record is from RNAcentral. Lineage: Bacteria; Bacillati; Bacillota; Clostridia; Lachnospirales; Lachnospiraceae.
ACGGGAGGCAGCAGUGGGGAAUAUUGGACAAUGGGGGAAACCCUGAUCCAGCGACGCCGCGUGAGUGAAGAAGUAUUUCGGUAUGUAAAGCUCUAUCAGCAAGGAAGAAAAUGACGGUACUUGACUAAGAAGCCCCGGCUAACUACGUGCCAGCAGCCGCGGUAAUACGUAGGGGGCAAGCGUUAUCCGGAUUUACUGGGUGUAAAGGGAGCGUAGACGGUAUGGCAAGUCUGAAGUGAAAUGCCAGGGCUUAACCCUGGAACUGCUUUGGAAACUGUCGUACUAGAGUGCAGGAGAGGUAAGUGGAAUUCCUAGUGUAGCGGUGAAAUGCGUAGAUAUUAGGAGGAACACCAGUGGCGAAGGCGGCUUACUGGACUGUAACUGACGUUGAGGCUCGAAAGCGUGGGGAGCAAACAGGAUUAGAUACCCUGGUA